RNAcentral lists this ribosomal RNA (253 nucleotides) under uncultured bacterium. RNAcentral describes it as "partial 16S ribosomal RNA". It matches the Rfam family "Bacterial small subunit ribosomal RNA", at positions 524 to 776 of the family's 1533-position model. The record is from RNAcentral.
UACGUAGGGUGCGAGCGUUAAUCGGAAUUACUGGGCGUAAAGCGUGCGCAGGCGGCUUCGCAAGUCAGACGUGAAAUCCCCGGGCUUAACCUGGGAAUGGCGUUUGAAACUACGGAGCUGGAGUAUGGCAGAGGUGGGUGGAAUUCCACGUGUAGCGGUGAAAUGCGUAGAUAUGUGGAGGAACACCGAUGGCGAAGGCAAUCCCCUGGGCCUGCACUGACGCUCAUGCACGAAAGCGUGGGGAGCAAACAGG